This 446-nucleotide long non-coding RNA is filed under the name Numida meleagris (helmeted guineafowl). RNAcentral describes it as "lncRNA (ENSNMEG00000006617.1)". Lineage: Eukaryota; Metazoa; Chordata; Aves; Galliformes; Numididae. The record is from RNAcentral.
UUGGCAUUUCUUCUGCAGAAAUGACAGUGUUUUGGAAUCAGAUGGAAUACUUCGAUGGAGUUUGAGGUGGUUGUCCUGUAAAGCAUCUCAGGGAAGGAAGAAGACUUGUGGCUACCUGAGAGCAAAGGGACUGAACCAGCUUGAAGGAAGCCAAGACAAUCCAGAAGGGAAAGGCUACACCCUCCUUUGGCAGUGCUCGGAUGAAAAGAUGUUCUGAAAAUGCCUCGGAUGAAAAGAAGCUGUAAAAAAAAAUAUAAUCUUUACCCUGAUAGACUGAUUACAAUCUAUUGUGCCAUGGAUUAGCGGGUGAGUAUUUAUUCAGCUUAUUUUUUUAUUCCUAUGUACAGAUGCUCUGGACCACAAUGACCCCUUUGAAGUCAUUAUUGGCGCUUGCAUCCAUGAGUAGUAUGGAGGGCACAUUAAUAAACUGUGUAUAGAAAAAGACA